RNAcentral lists this ribosomal RNA (493 nucleotides) under uncultured Clostridium sp. RNAcentral's name for it is "bacterial SSU rRNA". It matches the Rfam family "Bacterial small subunit ribosomal RNA", at positions 9 to 521 of the family's 1533-position model. Lineage: Bacteria; Bacillati; Bacillota; Clostridia; Eubacteriales; Clostridiaceae. The record is from RNAcentral.
GAGUUUGAUCAUGGCUCAGGACGAACGCUGGCGGCGUGCCUAACACAUGCAAGUCGAGCGAUGAAACCCUUCGGGGUGGAUUAGCGGCGGACGGGUGAGUAACACGUGGGUAACCUGCCUCAAAGAGGGGGAUAGCCUCCCGAAAGGGAGAUUAAUACCGCAUAACAUUAUUUCUUCGCAUGAAGAGAUAAUCAAAGGAGUAAUCCGCUUUGAGAUGGACCCGCGGCGCAUUAGCUAGUUGGUGAGGUAAUGGCUCACCAAGGCAACGAUGCGUAGCCGACCUGAGAGGGUGAUCGGCCACAUUGGAACUGAGAUACGGUCCAGACUCCUACGGGAGGCAGCAGUGGGGAAUAUUGCGCAAUGGGGGAAACCCUGACGCAGCAACGCCGCGUGGGUGAAGAAGGCCUUCGGGUUGUAAAGCUCUGUCUUCUGGGAGGAUAAUGACGGUACCAGAGGAGGAAGCCACGGCUAACUACGUGCCAGCAGCCGCGGU